UACGUAGGGGGCAAGCGUUGUCCGGAUUUAUUGGGCGUAAAGCGCACGCAGGCGGUCUCUUAAGUUUCGAGUGACAGGUCAGGGCUUAACCCUGGCAGGCCUUGGAAAACUGGGGGACUUGAGGGCUUCAGAGGGACGCGGAAUUCCAGGUGGAGCGGUGAAAUGCGUAGAUAUCGGGAGGAACACCGGUGGCGAAGGCGGCGAUCUGGGUAGAUACUGACGCUGAGGUGCGAAAGCGUGGGGAGCAAACAGG
RNAcentral lists this ribosomal RNA (253 nucleotides) under uncultured bacterium. RNAcentral's name for it is "partial 16S ribosomal RNA". It matches the Rfam family "Bacterial small subunit ribosomal RNA", at positions 524 to 776 of the family's 1533-position model. The record is from RNAcentral.